UUUUUAAAAUAUGUGUUUUAUUAUUAUGCAUUGCUAUACAUAUGGUGUUUCUGUACAGUUCUAGACAGGUUCAGUUCAACUCCAGCUGUAGAGACCAUCACUGUUCGUUCUGUACAGUUCUAGACAGGUUCAGUUCAACUCCAGCUGUAGAGACCAUCACUGUUCGUUCUGUACAGUUCUAGACAGGUUCAGUUCAACUCCAGCUGUAGAGACCAUCACUGUUCGUUCUGUACAGUUCUAGACAGGUUCAGUUCAACUCCAGCUGUAGAGACCAUCACUGUUCGUUCUGUACAGUUCUAGACAGGUUCAGUUCAACUCCAGCUGUAGAGACCAUCACUGUUCGUUCUGUACAGUUCUAGACAGGUUCAGUUCAACUCCAGCUGUAGAGACCAUCACUGUUCGUUCUGUACAGUUCUAGACAGGUUCAGUUCAACUCCAGCUGUAGAGACCAUCACUGUUCGUUCUGUACAGUUCUAGACAGGUUCAGUUCAACUCCAGCUGUAGAGACCAUGACUGUUCGUUCUGUACAGUUCUAGACAGGUUCAGUUCAACUCCAGCUGUAGAGACCAUGACUGUUCGUUCUGUACAGUUCUAGACAGGUUCAGUUCAACUCCAGCUGUAGAGACCAUCACUGUUCGUUCUGUACAGUUCUAGACAGGUUCAGUUCAACUCCAGCUGUAGAGACCAUCACUGUUCGUUCUGUACAGUUCUAGACAGGUUCAGUUCAACUCCAGCUGUAGAGACCAUCACUGUUCGUUCUGUACAGUUCUAGACAGGUUCAGUUCAACUCCAGCUGUAGAGACCAUCACUGUUCGUUCUGUACAGUUCUAGACAGGUUCAGUUCAACUCCAGCUGUAGAGACCAUCACUGUUCGUUCUGUACAGUUCUAGACAGGUUCAGUUCAACUCCAGCUGUAGAGACCAUCACUGUUCGUUCUGUACAGUUCUAGACAGGUUCAGUUCAACUCCAGCUGUAGAGACCAUCACUGUUCGUUCUGUACAGUUCUAGACAGGUUCAGUUCAACUCCAGCUGUAGAGACCAUCACUGUUCGUUCUGUACAGUUCUAGACAGGUUCAGUUCAACUCCAGCUGUAGAGACCAUCACUGUUCGUUCUGUACAGUUCUAGACAGGUUCAGUUCAACUCCAGCUGUAGAGACCAUCACUGUUCGUUCUGUACAGUUCUAGACAGGUUCAGUUCAACUCCAGCUGUAGAGACCAUCACUGUUCGUUCUGUACAGUUCUAGACAGGUUCAGUUCAACUCCAGCUGUAGAGACCAUCACUGUUCGUUCUGUACAGUUCUAGACAGGUUCAGUUCAACUCCAGCUGUAGAGACCAUCACUGUUCGUUCUGUACAGUUCUAGACAGGUUCAGUUCAACUCCAGCUGUAGAGACCAUCACUGUUCGUUCUGUACAGUUCUAGACAGGUUCAGUUCAACUCCAGCUGUAGAGACCAUCACUGUUGUUUUUGUUUAGGAAGUCAGAAUGUCCCUUAACCGAAUCUUGGAUUUUCUGAUAGGAUAUUACAGUACUGAGAACUGUACAUUCCUCAAACGCACAGUAGUGCAUACCAACUAGAUGAGAACGCAAAGAUAGGCCAUUCCAGCUGUUUUAUUGCCAUUUCACUAAUGGUUCCGUCUGAACGGAGGACUCACCAGAGUUGAGGAAGAGAAGGAAGGAAGGGAACUUGUUUGUUUUCAUUCCCCAAAAUGCAUUGCAGCCAUAGCCCUCAGGACCCUCGUCCAGCCCCAGAAAUAACAGGUUGGUCUAAUCGGGAGCAGGUGAAUCUGCUUCCUUUAGCAGAUAUCUAUAUACUCAAAGCUUUGUUGCAUAAAGAUUGUUUUGUGAUGUUUCUGUGCAUUUUAUUUGGGUUUUCACAUUAAAGUUAGACUUGUUGAACUGUAAAUGUAACAGCUUUCGUUAGUUAUGCCUACAUUGUCCGUACGGAGUGGAACAAUAAUGAAGAUGUUAUCCUGGAAUAGAAUAAACAAAGAUUGAUAUGUUGCACAGGAGGCUGGAACAGACUUCACGGGAUGGCAUCAAAUAUCUGGAAACCAUGUGUUUGACCUAUGUGUUACCAUUCCACCGAUUCUGCUCCAGUCAUAAGAACGAGCCAGUUCUCCCCAAUGAAGGUGCCACAACUUCCUGUGAUAUGUAGGAUCUUAAUUUGAUCACCCUGUUGCAUGAGGACUUUCCUGAAAAGGAUGAAAUGUGAAUCUUGUAGUGUAUUUGAGGUUUCAAAAGGCUUCUAAAGUCUUUAAAUCUAAACUUUGAAAUGUCCUACUUGAUUUUCCCUUACGAAAAAUGUAUCAACCGCUACAAAAAUGUCCAUUGUCCACAUAAUAAUUCACUUUUCCUGUUGCUACAGGAUUCUUUUCCUGAUGUAGGAAACUGUCUCAAAUUAAGAUCCUACAUCUGCACAUGCAUAUUUAAUGUCCAUGGUUUGCUUUCUCCCAUCCUCAGGCGCUUAAACAUAAUGCAUAGAGUGUACAAAACUCUGCUCUUCCCAUGACAUAGACUGACCACCUAUGAUCCCUUAUUUAUUUGAUUGUAUUUUUAUUUAACCUUUAUUUAACUUGGCAGGUCAGUUUAUUUACAAUGACGGCCUACCCUGGCCAAACCCGGUCAACGCUGGGCCAAUUGUGUGCCGCCCUAUGGGACUCCCAAUUACAGUCAGAUGUGAUGCAGCCUUAUUGAUGUCACUUGUUAAAUCCAACUCAAUAUUAGGAAGGUGUUCUUAAUGUUUUGUACACUCAGUCUAUAACACCUACUUUUAUGUGAAAUGUUCUGAUCAUUUGAAUUGCAAAUCUUUGACCAGGAUGCCACGUCUGUUCAACGCUUAAAGACAUCCUCGGGCGAUUUCUUUCACUUUUCCAGUUAAAAGUGAUAUCCCAAGUAUAAAUACAGUAAAGUACACACAUGUUUUGAACAAAAUGGUAUUUUUUACACACAACUGCAAACUGCAAGGAGAAGGACAUUCAAGGAGUUGGUCUGAUGGUAAGUUGUGAUGUCAUCAGCCUCCCCCUUGCCUGACGAACUAUAGAGAACUGAAGAGGAAAGCCCCCCCCCCACACUUUGUCAUGACUGACCUGGACCACCUAUUGAGAUGUCCUUUUUGUUAAAUCAUUGAGGUGUUAAAUGAGGUGAAAAAGAUAUUUGAGUGCCACUAAGGUGUAGUUGACUAUCAUAAUGACUACUAGCUAGAACUGCUCUGGCAACCAUUCUUCCUUAUGGUUGUCUGAUGGUAUCAAGUUAGCCGGAGCUGCUGAGAAUGUAAAUAACAAGAUAUCUCACAUCUCUAAUAACUUAUGUAACAUGGUUUUAGGUUGCUUCCUGGAAAGUCAGAAUUGACUUGAAAUGAUUAGAAUCAAAAUGAUAACAAUCAGGUGCAUAGCUAUGGGUAUAUUUUGGAUUCUUGGUGCACAUUUUAAAAAUGUUUUCAUUAACGUAACAACGGUUUUCACCAGCAGACAAAAAAACUAUGCCCAUGGGUAGGUGAAUCAGUUGAGGUUGAAUCCAAAAAUUCAAUCCACAACUUUAUUGUCCCACUAUGGGAAAUUCUGCAAACCACAAUAAGGUUUAUUACAAAAUAAAUAUGACAUAUAGGUAAAUAUGACCUCUAAACAGAGAGUGUUUACAGACACAGGGGGCAACAC
This is a long non-coding RNA of Oncorhynchus keta (chum salmon), 3654 nucleotides long. RefSeq lists it as uncharacterized. The transcript is spliced from 3 exons. Lineage: Eukaryota; Metazoa; Chordata; Actinopteri; Salmoniformes; Salmonidae. The record is from RefSeq and is a predicted model, not a curated record.